Molecule: unclassified non-coding RNA, 404 nt
Filed under: soil metagenome
Description: partial contains 5.8S ribosomal RNA, internal transcribed spacer 2, and large subunit ribosomal RNA
Rfam family: 5.8S ribosomal RNA (bases 1-122)
Source: RNAcentral
GAUGAAGAACGUAGCGAAAUGUGAUACUUGGUGCGAAUUGCAGAAUCCCGUGAACCAUCGAGUUUUUGAACGCAAGUUGCGCCCGAAGCCGUUAGGCUGAGGGCACGCCUGCCUGGGUGUCACACAUCGUUGCCCCAAUGCCAAUCGCCUCACUUUGUAGGUAUUUGCUUGGGGUGAAUGUUGGCCUCCCGUGAGCUUUGUCUCACGGUUGGUUGAAAAUCGAGUGCAUGGUGUCGGGUGUACCAUGAUGGAUGGUGGUUGAGUGAUGAUGCUCGAGACCAAUCAUGGGUAACUCCACCAGAAUUGGGCUCGGUGACCCACAUGCGUCCCUUGGAUGCUCCCUAAGGAGACCUCAGGUCAGGCGGGGCUACCCGCUGAGUUUAAGCAUAUCAAUAAGCGGAGGA